GGGUGAGAGCCCCGUACGGUUGGCCGCCUAGCCUGUGUAAAGCUCCUUCGACGAGUCGAGUAGUUUGGGAAUGCUGCUCUAAACGGGAGGUACACCCCUUCUAAAGCUAAAUACCGGCCAGAGACCGAUAGCGCACAAGUAGAGUGAUCGAAAGAUGAAAAGCACUUUGAAAAGAGAGUCAAACAGCACGUGAAAUUGUUGAAAGGGAAGCGCUUGUGGCCAGACCUGUCCCGGCAGCUCAGCCGUCCCUCGUGGGCGGUGCACUCUGCCGGGUGCAGGCCAGCAUCAGCUCGUGGCGGGGGAGAAAGGCGGCGGGAACGUGGCUCUUCGGAGUGUUAUAGCCCGCCGCUACGCCCCACCGCGGGCUGAGGUUCGCGCUCCGCAAGGAUGCUGGCGUAAUGGCCAUCAGCGACCCGUCUUGAAACACGGACCAAGGAGCGGUCCUAACAUGCGAGUGUUCGGGUGCAAAACCCCUACGCGGAAUGAAAGUGAAGGAGGUAGAGCUUCGGCGCAUCAUCGACCGAUC
RNAcentral lists this ribosomal RNA (526 nucleotides) under Corollospora angusta. Its description in RNAcentral is "eukaryotic LSU rRNA". It matches the Rfam family "Eukaryotic large subunit ribosomal RNA", at positions 210 to 770 of the family's 3401-position model. The record is from RNAcentral. Lineage: Eukaryota; Fungi; Ascomycota; Sordariomycetes; Microascales; Halosphaeriaceae.